AGAGUUUGAUCCUGGCUCAGAACGAACGCUGGCGGCAGGCUUAACACAUGCAAGUCGAGCGCCCGCAAGGGGAGCGGCAGACGGGUGAGUAACACGUGGGAAUCUACCCAUCCCUACGGAACAACUCCGGGAAACUGGAGCUAAUACCGUAUACGCCCUUCGGGGGAAAGAUUUAUCGGGGAUGGAUGAGCCCGCGUUGGAUUAGCUAGUUGGUGGGGUAAAGGCCUACCAAGGCGACGAUCCAUAGCUGGUCUGAGAGGAUGAUCAGCCACAUUGGGACUGAGACACGGCCCAAACUCCUACGGGAGGCAGCAGUGGGGAAUAUUGGACAAUGGGCGCAAGCCUGAUCCAGCCAUGCCGCGUGAAUGAUGAAGGCCUUAGGGUUGUAAAGUUCUUUCACCGAUGAAGAUAAUGACGGUAGUCGGAGAAGAAGCCCCGGCUAACUUCGUG
This 450-nucleotide ribosomal RNA is filed under the name uncultured Rhizobium sp. RNAcentral's name for it is "bacterial SSU rRNA". It matches the Rfam family "Bacterial small subunit ribosomal RNA", at positions 8 to 507 of the family's 1533-position model. The record is from RNAcentral. Lineage: Bacteria; Pseudomonadati; Pseudomonadota; Alphaproteobacteria; Hyphomicrobiales; Rhizobiaceae.